RNAcentral lists this ribosomal RNA (655 nucleotides) under uncultured bacterium. Its description in RNAcentral is "bacterial SSU rRNA". It matches the Rfam family "Bacterial small subunit ribosomal RNA", at positions 60 to 706 of the family's 1533-position model. The record is from RNAcentral.
AGUCGACGGCAGCCAGCAGAGCUUGCUCUGUGGGUGGCGAGUGGCGGACUGGUGAGUAAUGCAUCGGGAUCUACCCAAACGUGGGGGAUAACGUAGGGAAACUUACGCUAAUACCGCAUACGUCCUACGGGAGAAAGCGGGGGAUCUUCGGACCUCGCGCGGUUGGAUGAACCGAUGUGCGAUUAGCUAGUUGGCGGGGUAAUGGCCCACCAAGGCGACGAUCGCUAGCUGGUCUGAGAGGAUGAUCAGCCACACUGGAACUGAGACACGGUCCAGACUCCUACGGGAGGCAGCAGUGGGGAAUAUUGGACAAUGGGCGCAAGCCUGAUCCAGCAAUGCCGCGUGUGUGAAGAAGGCCUUCGGGUUGUGAAGCACUUUUAUCAGGAACGAAAUACCACGGGUUAAUACCCUAUGGGGCUGACGGUACCUGAGGAAUAAGCACCGGCUAACUUCGUGCCAGCAGCCGCGGUAAUACGAAGGGUGCAAGCGUUAAUCGGAAUUACUGGGCGUAAAGCGUGCGUAGGCGGUUCGUUAAGUCUGCUGUGAAAUCCCCGGGCUCAACCUGGGAAUGGCAGUGGAUACUGGCAAGCUAGAGUGUGUCAGAGGAUGGUGGAAUUCCCGGUGUAGCGGUGAAAUGCGUAGGGAUCGGGAGGAA